Molecule: unclassified non-coding RNA, 374 nt
Filed under: uncultured bacterium
Lineage: Bacteria
Description: contains 16S-23S intergenic spacer region
Source: RNAcentral
UCCGGUUUGUCACCGGCAGUCUCGUAUGAGUCCCCAACUAAAUGCUGGCAACAUACGACGGGGGUUGCGCUCGUUGCGGGACUUAACCCAACAUUUCACAACACGAGCUGACGACAGCCAUGCACCACCUGUGUAUCACCCUCGAAGGCGACUACUUUUCGGUAGCUUGCAGAUACAUGUCAAGCCCUGGUAAGGUUCUUCGCGUUGCAUCGAAUUAAACCACAUGCUCCACCGCUUGUGCGGGCCCCCGUCAAUUCCUUUGAGUUUCAGCCUUGCGGCCGUACUCCCCAGGCGGGGCACUUAAUGCGUUAGCGCCGACACCCGGGGGGUCGCUCCCCCAACACCCAGUUGUCAUCGUUUAGGGCGUGGACUAC